GGACUCCAGUGGACUUUCCAGAGCGCCCGGAGGAAGCUGGAACGCUGGCCGGGCUGAGCUGCACUACCUUCGCAAUUCAAAUGAGAGACGCUGUGUCAGCCUUUGACAGGAGAGGCAGAGAGAAGAAACUCCAAGCUCUGUCAGGCAGAACGAGAGUCCUGAUUCUCUCUCAGGCUUGUGGGAUAUACAGCAGUGACACAGUCCUGUGGUGCCACAGAGCCCACAGAUCCAGAAUCCAAUGGUUUGAUGGCCCCAAGACAGGGCAGUGGGGGACUUGUAGGUCCUCCAGCAGGCGUGCCUCUCCCCUUCCUCCUACUCCUCCUCCUUUGUGGCCAGACACUACAUGCCCAGGGUCAAGUGAGACUGUUCAAGCCAUCGACUCACUGAGGGUUGAAGAUGAUGAUCGAUCGGCAAAGGCAAUCUGGAAUCUGCUGGCAUCACGGCACAACAUCAACAUCCCUCUAACCACAGUCAGAAGACAGUUGAAGAAACUUGAGUGGACUUAUGGAAAGGCUCUCCUCCAGCCUCCAGCGGCGGUCUGCAGCCCAGAGCCUCCAGCGGCGGUCUGCAGCCCAGGGCCUCCAGCGGCGGUCUGCAGCCCAGGGCCUCCAGCGGCGGUCUGCAGCCUAGAGCCUCCAGCAACUGUCUGCAGCCCAGAUCCUCCAGCGGCGGCCUGCAGCCCAGAUCCUCCAGCGGCGGCCUGCAGCCCAGAUCCUCCAGCGAUGGUCUACAGCACAGAACUUCUGAUACCACAGGAGCCAACCCCUCUCCAGAGAUGGCAGAUGACAGGGAUUCUCCUCCAGAAAAGAAGUCUGCCGUGGCUGAGCUUUUUGGGGAGUUGUUCACGACCCAGGAGCAGGGAACCAAGUCAAAGGUCAAGGUCAUGGAGGAGGAGGUGACCUCACACAGGGAAGUGGACUGUAUUCCCUUGGAUGCUGAUCCACUUACAUUGUGGAAGACCAAAGUGUUAAUAUAUCAUCAUGUUGCCAAGGCGCUGCCUGGCUGUGCCUGGGACCUCUGUCCCUAGCGAGAGG
This 1034-nucleotide long non-coding RNA is filed under the name Salmo salar (Atlantic salmon). RNAcentral describes it as "lncRNA (ENSSSAG00000083827.1)". Lineage: Eukaryota; Metazoa; Chordata; Actinopteri; Salmoniformes; Salmonidae. The record is from RNAcentral.